UACGGAGGGUGCAAGCGUUAUCCGGAUUCACUGGGUUUAAAGGGUGCGUAGGAGGGCAGGUAAGUCAGUGGUGAAAUCCCCGAGCUUAACUUGGGAACUGCCGUUGAUACUAUCUGUCUUUGAAUACCGUGGAGGUGAGCGGAAUAUGUCAUGUAGCGGUGAAAUGCUUAGAUAUGACAUAGAACACCAAUUGCGAAGGCAGCUCGCUACACGAAUAUUGACUCUGAGGCACGAAAGCGUGGGGAUCAAACAGG
This 254-nucleotide ribosomal RNA is filed under the name uncultured bacterium. Its description in RNAcentral is "partial 16S ribosomal RNA". It matches the Rfam family "Bacterial small subunit ribosomal RNA", at positions 524 to 776 of the family's 1533-position model. The record is from RNAcentral.